Molecule: non-coding RNA, 19 nt
Filed under: Mus musculus (house mouse)
Lineage: Eukaryota; Metazoa; Chordata; Mammalia; Rodentia; Muridae
Source: RNAcentral
UGAUGCUGAGCUGAAUGGG